RNA transcript from Hylaeus anthracinus, 713 nucleotides. It is a transcript of the gene named DDB1- and CUL4-associated factor 6-like, with no coding region annotated. The record is from RefSeq and is a predicted model, not a curated record. NCBI's taxonomy places the organism in Eukaryota, Metazoa, Arthropoda, Insecta, Hymenoptera, Colletidae. The transcript has 3 exons.
GGCCGUCCAUAUUUUAUCUGAUCGGUUGGCCUUCCCCCCCCGGUUGACUCUAGUUUCUUUAGGACCAUGAUCAAAGAAGCGAACUUCUGGGGCAACGAUUUCGUCAUGUCGGGUAGCGACUGCGGCCACGUGUUCAUCUGGGAUAAAGACACGGCAAAACUGUGCAUGUUGCUCGAGGCUGAUCAACACGUGGUCAACUGUCUACAACCCCAUCCGUAUUUGCCUUUGCUGGCUACCGCAGGCAUCGAUUACGAUGUCAAGCUCUGGGCACCCAUAAACGACGAGUCCACCUUUGACGAGAACUUUGCCGAAGAUUUGAAAAAGAGGAACGCGAUCAUGUUGGAAGAGACCAGAGACACAAUGACCGUACCUGCUACUUUUAUGAUCAGAAUGCUGGCAUGUCUCAAUCAGAUACGCAGAGGUAGUGAAAAUUUAUAAUAAUACUCCCCAAGACUUCCUGGUAGUUCACUACACUAGUAUGACCGAAGAUACGUAGUUAAGAAAAUAAUAUACAGGAGAGUUUGGCAGCUUUUCCUGUUACGUGCAGGUCGCGGUCGGAACAGGGGGAGAAGCGGACACGAGCCCACCGAAUUACGAGGUUGCUAAGCGAUUUUCGACGAAAUUUUUGGGAGGUCGGUCCCGACGACACAGCAUAUCACAAUGUCGACAGUCCCAACCGACUAAUCAGGUUGAAAAAAAGAAAAAAAAAGAAA